AUGAAAUGUUGCCUGGAGACAAUGGCCGAGACAGCAGGUCGCACCCAGCACAGCCGCCUUCACCUCUCCCCACGGCCCUGUCCCGCCUUUGCAGUUGGGUCUGCACAUUUCUCUGCUGAGCCUGAACCUGAAGAGUCUGUGGCAGUGGCGGCAGUGCUGAUCACUUCACCCUGUGCUCAUGGAGCACAGCAACGAGAUUGGGAGAAUGGAUUUCGGCCAGGGAUGAAGGAGGUAUCUCAGGAAGGAUUUCAUCUCCACCAACACUCAGGUAUAGGACAGAUAUAA
This 285-nucleotide long non-coding RNA is filed under the name Chinchilla lanigera (long-tailed chinchilla). RNAcentral's name for it is "lncRNA (ENSCLAG00000027693.1)". Lineage: Eukaryota; Metazoa; Chordata; Mammalia; Rodentia; Chinchillidae. The record is from RNAcentral.